Molecule: small nucleolar RNA, 85 nt
Organism: Chiloscyllium plagiosum (whitespotted bambooshark)
Lineage: Eukaryota; Metazoa; Chordata; Chondrichthyes; Orectolobiformes; Hemiscylliidae
Product: small nucleolar RNA U83B
Source: RefSeq, a predicted model, not a curated record
GAUGAUUUGACAUGGAUUAUAUGUUGGUAACAGCAUCUGACUCUGAUGAGGAGCCAUUCCAUGCUGCCUUCCUUCUGAGGUCGUC